Oxyura jamaicensis (ruddy duck) is the source of this 1132-nucleotide long non-coding RNA. RefSeq lists it as uncharacterized. The record is from RefSeq and is a predicted model, not a curated record. Lineage: Eukaryota; Metazoa; Chordata; Aves; Anseriformes; Anatidae. The transcript is spliced from 3 exons.
UCUCCCUGACAGCCCUGUCUUCCCCGGGACCUGGAUCCACGGGGCUCCAGCCCAGGCUGCCCAGCUCCCACACCCCUGCCGGCGGAUGCGGGGGGGCUGCGGAGAUGUAAGAGAAGCAAGCACAGGGUCAAGCAUGGUGUAAACACAUGAAUAUAUGCUUUGGCAGUGGGUUGGCUGAGAAAGCCUGAGCUGCCUUUACCUGCUCCUUGCUGAAGGACAGGAUCCAUCCCAAGGUGUGGCGAUGGCUGGUGCCCCAUCCGCCCUGCUGCCUCCCACCUGCGCUGUAUUUUACGUCGCAAAGCAUUAAUUAUUGCUGUAACAAGCAUUCCUGACCUCAUGCUCUAGCAGCAGACAAAGCAAAAGGCAGUUGGGCAUUCACGUUGACUAAGUGGCAGCUGCAAUUAACGUACCUCUGCGUAAUUACAGCGUGGCACCUGGCCGUGUCUGUGAGGCUUGAGCAGAAGCCAGGCUGUGUGGGAGGAGGGUUUCCCCAGAGGCCCUGGUGAGCGCAGGGCUGGGCGGUGGAUGGAUUACAGCUGUGUGUGCGUGUUUAAAAAUAACCCUCUAACUUUGCAGAGGAAUGUAUUUGUUAUGGAGCCACUGAAAGGCCGGGGUAAGAGACCCGGGAGCAAGCAGCUGCUGGGAGCGAGCCAGGAGACGGCUCCUGGGCACGAUGCUCCCCGGGAAGGCGGACUUGGGCUGCCGAGCAAGGAACCUGCUCCUGUUUGUUUGCUCUCUGUGUUCAGGGAAACAAGACUUUGUGUAUGGUUUGUGGGAUAAAUAAACACCAGUGCACCGAGGAAAUGCUUUGCUCAUCACCAGUUGUGUUGUAGUGGAAACAACCUGGCAAGACCCCACAUGUUGGCUAAUCCUCGGGCCAGAUGGAGGGUGGCUGCUCCAGAAGCAGCGCUGGUGGAAGAGGCGAGACCAAACAUGUUCCCACCACCACGGAGGUUUCCUGGCGUCACUUCACAAACACCCCCACCCAGCAGCGCCCCGUCAACAGAAAACAGCUUUCCACUUCAGCAGUGCUAAAGUAAGUCUCUCAUUCGCUUUGAGGCUGGGAUGGAAGCUGAGUUACUCCAAGCAAUGUGUGGCAGCGAACAGAUCCCAGUGGCACUGGGUUUCUGCU